Gorilla gorilla gorilla (western lowland gorilla) is the source of this 1688-nucleotide long non-coding RNA. RefSeq lists it as uncharacterized. Lineage: Eukaryota; Metazoa; Chordata; Mammalia; Primates; Hominidae. The record is from RefSeq and is a predicted model, not a curated record. The transcript has 2 exons.
AUGAAAAACAAAACUAUGGCUUAUAAAAUUUUCUAGUUAAGAAAGCAGAUAUACUAAUAUUUAGAUAUCUACUUACUCUAAUUAUUUUUUCAUUUUUGUAACAACUAAGACUGUGGUCUUUGGCAAAUUAUAAAUGUCAAUAAGAGAAGGAGAUAAAAAAUUGAGAAGGAAAAAAAUUGGUAUAUAACUAUUAAAAGUCAAGGCAUAGCCGGGCACGGUGGCUCACGCCUGUAAUCCCAGCACUUUGGGAGGCCGAGGCAGGCGUAUCACAAGGUCAGGAGUUUGAGAUCAGCCUGGCCAAUAUGGUGAAACUCCAUCUCUACUAAAAGUACAAAAAUCAGCCAGGCAUGGUGGCAGGCGCCUGUAGUCCCAGCUACUCUGGAGGCUGAGGCAGGAGAAUCGCUUGAACCCGGGAGGCCGAGGUUGCAAUGAGCCGAGAUUGUGCCACUGCACUGCAGCCUGGGCAACAGAGCAAGACUUUGUCUAAGAAAAAAAAAAAAGAAAAAAAAAAGUCAAGGCAUAAAAUGUAUGCUUAUAUCUAACUCUGAAAAUAUAUACCAGAAAAUAAAAAUGUUAAUAGAGUUUGCCUCUAAGAGCCUGGGAGUAGGUGAUGGAAGAGAGACUUUGAUUUUUUUGUUUCUUCCUUUUCAACACUUACAUAUGUUAAAGAAAAAUAUAAAUGAGGCUUUAGCUUUGUAGGAAGGUAUUUUGUAGUUAUAUCUUCUAGAUGUGCCCAUCACCUAAUGUCAAGAAUUAUCAACUCACAAUUAAGUUUAUUUCUUCUAUAUUCCCACUCUCUAGCCCCUAGUUGUUUCGAAGCAAAUCACAGACAUAUUUCAUGUAUAAAUAUUUCAGUAUAGAUCUGUAAAUGAUAAAAACUUUCCCUUGUUACACAGCUCUAAUACCAUCAUCACACAUACAAAAAGAAUAAUACAAAAAAGAAUAACCCCUUAAUACCAGUUAUCCAGCAGUGUUCACAUUUAUCCUACUGUCUCUUAGGUGAUGUUCUUCAGUGUCUUCUUUAAUGCCAGCAACAAAUACCUUUUUCACAGUUAGGUGGGCACCUGGUCUUUGAGAACCUUCUCCUGAGACAGCCCUCUUUGGUUCCACAGCUCUCCCAUCCUCUUUGUGUGGCCUUGCAUUCGUGGCUGCAUCCACCUCCUCCACAGUGGCAUAGGUGACGAACCCAAAGCCCCUGGAGCGCUUGGUGUUGGGAUCUCUCAUGACCACACAGCCUGUGAGCAUUCCCCAUUGCUCAGAAUGGCUCCUCAGCCUCUCAGCAGUUGUUUCAAAGCUCAUCCUUCCAGUGAAGAGCUGCCACAGCUGCUUGGCUCUUUAGGAGACUGACUUAGACAUGACGGCAGUGGGAAGAGAGAUUUUAAUGAUGCUUCCUGGUGGCGGCCACGGACAGAAGGAUUUUCUUUUAAAGCCGCUUGUCUGUUUUGUGAGGACUGGUUUUGGAAAGCUGCUAAUAUGAUCUGUGAAGCGACUCACAGGGCACACACAACCUGAGGGGCAUGGCCAAAUUCCAUGCGAAGAAAGCGAAGGGCCCUGUCCCCGCGUGGCACUUGACCGUCUGCCAUCCGACCGAGACUGGAUCAUGUGAGCAGCCAGUGACAAACCACAUAUUAAAUCUUGGUAAAGCUUUAUUUCUUUUUUAGAUAAAGUUAGUAUAAAUGUUCUACCUA